This 291-nucleotide unclassified non-coding RNA is filed under the name fungal sp. RNAcentral describes it as "partial internal transcribed spacer region". The stretch from base 1 to 46 matches the Rfam family "Eukaryotic small subunit ribosomal RNA", at positions 1786 to 1831 of the family's 1831-position model. The record is from RNAcentral. Lineage: Eukaryota; Fungi.
AAGUCGUAACAAGGUUUCCGUAGGUGAACCUGCGGAAGGAUCAUUAACAUAUUCCAAAACUCGUCUUGACGAGGGGAAAGCUUACCACUACCCUACGAAAGGAAGGUGUGAUGAGUGGAACUCUUGUCGUUACAGACAAAACAUACAUUUACCACGUUAUAAUACAACCAAUGGAGAACCAAGUGCUUAUGCUCUUCUGACAUACAUACACACUGUGUUGUUUGUUAUACUAGUAUAUACGCUAUGUAAAAAACGUUGAAACAACUUUUAACAAUGGAUCUCUUGGCUCUU